This 1506-nucleotide ribosomal RNA is filed under the name candidate division CPR3 bacterium GWF2_35_18. Its description in RNAcentral is "bacterial SSU rRNA". It matches the Rfam family "Bacterial small subunit ribosomal RNA". Lineage: Bacteria; candidate division CPR3. RNAcentral also lists the same sequence under 2 other names. The record is from RNAcentral.
AUGAGAGUUUGAUCCUGGCUCAGGAUGAACGCUGGCGGCGUGCCUAAGGUAUGCAAGUCGAGCGACCCACUUCGGGUGGGAGCGGCAAACGGGUGAGUAACACGUGGAUUAUCUACCUCUAACACAAGGAUAGCUCGCCGAAAGGCGGAUUAAUACUUGAUAGUCUCUUAUCGCAAGAUAAGAGUAAAGCUUUGGCGGUUAGAGAUGAGUCCGCGGCCUAUCAGCUUGUUGGUAAGGUAAUGGCUUACCAAGGCUAUAACGGGUAGCUGGUCUGAGAGGAUGGUCAGCCACACUGGGACUGUGACACGGCCCAGACUCCUACGGGAGGCAGCAAUCAGGAAUCUUGCGCAAUGGGGGAAACCCUGACGCAGCGACGCCGCGUGGAGGAUGAAGGCCUUCGGGUUGUAAACUCCUUUUCUAUAGGAUGAUAAUGACGUAACUGUAGGAAUAAGCACCUGCUAACUACGUGCCAGCAGCCGCGGUAAUACGUAGGGUGCAAGCGUUAUCCGGGAUCAUUGGGCGUAAAGAGUAGCGUAGGCGGUUUAUUAAGUUUUUAGUGAAAUCCUUCGGCUUAACCGGGGACCCGCUAAGAAUACUGGUAGACUAGAAAUAUGGAGGGGAAAGCGGAACUCUUGGUGUAGGGGUGAAAUCCGUUGAUAUCAAGAGGAACACCAAAGGCGUAGGCAGCUUUCUGGCCAUUUUUUGACGCUCAGGCACGAAAGCGUGGGGAGCGAAACGGAUUAGAUACCCGUGUAGUCCACGCUGUAAACGAUGGAUACUAGAUACCUGACCCACUGAGGAUAGGAAAUAUUUUUUCCUAUUUUGAGUGGGUUGGGUGUCGUAAGCUAACGCGUUAAGUAUCCCGCCUGGGGAGUACGGCCGCAAGGCUAAAACUCAAAGGAAUUGACGGGGGAACGCACAAGCGGUGGAGCGCGUGGUUUAAUUCGAUAAUAAACGAAGAACCUUACCAGGGUUUGACAUUCUAAUUGCUAAUCUAUCGAAAGAUGGACUCCUUCGAGGGUAUUAGAACAGGUGUUGCACGGCUGUCGUCAGCUCGUGUCGUGAGAUGUCGGGUUAAGUCCCACAACGAGCGCAACCCCUAUCAUCUGUUGUAUUUCUCAGAUGAGACUGCUCGCGUAAGCGAGAGGAAGGUGGGGACGACGUCUAGUCAGCGUGGCCCUUAUAUCCUGGGCAACACACGCGCUACAAUGGUCAAGACAAAGAGUUGCAAUCUGGCGACAGGGAGCUAAUCUCAUAAACUUGAUCUCAGUUCAGAUUGCAGGCUGAAAUUCGCCUACAUGAAGAUGGAAUCGCUAGUAAUCGCAGGUCAGCUAUACUGUGGUGAAUACGUUCUCGUUCCUUGUACACACCGCCCGUCAAGUAGGGAAAGCUGGGGGCACCCGAAGACCGUCGUAAGAUGGGCUAAGGUGAAACCGGUAAUCAAUGCUAAGUCGUAACAAGGUAUCCGUAGGGGAAUCUGCGGAUGGAUCACCUCCUUUCUAAGGA